RNAcentral lists this ribosomal RNA (331 nucleotides) under uncultured eukaryote. RNAcentral's name for it is "partial 18S ribosomal RNA". It matches the Rfam family "Eukaryotic small subunit ribosomal RNA", at positions 1470 to 1796 of the family's 1831-position model. The record is from RNAcentral.
CCCUUAGAUGUUCUGGGCCGCACGCGCGCUACACUGACGAAGUCAGCGAGCAUGUCCUACGCCGACAGGUGCGGGGAAUCUUGUCAAACUUCGUCGUGAUGGGGAUUGAUUAUUGAAAUUCUUGAUCAUCAACGAGGAAUUCCUAGUAAGCGCAAGUCAGCAGCUUGCGUUGAUUACGUCCCUGCCCUUUGUACACACCGCCCGUCGCUACUACCGAUUGAAUGGUUUAGUGAGAUCUUCGGAUUGGCGCCACUGCGGCUCAGCAAUGGGCUCGGUGGAUGCCGAAAAGCUGAUCAAACUUGAUCAUUUAGAGGAAGUAAAAGUCGUAACA